UACGGGGGGGGGCAAGCGUUGUUCGGAAUUACUGGGCGUAAAGGGCUCGUAGGCGGCCAACUAAGUCAGACGUGAAAUCCCUCGGCUUAACCGGGGAACUGCGUCUGAUACUGGAUGGCUUGAGUUCGGGAGAGGGAUGCGGAAUUCCAGGUGUAGCGGUGAAAUGCGUAGAUAUCUGGAGGAACACCGGUGGCGAAGGCGACUCUCUGGUCUGUAACUGACGCUGAGGCGCGAAAGCGUGGGGAGCAAACAGG
RNAcentral lists this ribosomal RNA (254 nucleotides) under uncultured bacterium. RNAcentral describes it as "partial 16S ribosomal RNA". It matches the Rfam family "Bacterial small subunit ribosomal RNA", at positions 524 to 776 of the family's 1533-position model. The record is from RNAcentral.